Long non-coding RNA from Gallus gallus (chicken), 141 nucleotides. RefSeq lists it as uncharacterized. Lineage: Eukaryota; Metazoa; Chordata; Aves; Galliformes; Phasianidae. The record is from RefSeq and is a predicted model, not a curated record. The transcript is spliced from 2 exons.
AUAGCAUGAGAACCUGAAUCGCUGGCAGCCAGCAACUGGUGUGGGACUCCAAUCCAGAUCACGAUGUCAAAGACCAGACCGAAGUAUCUGAGAAUGUCAAAUACAGAUGUGAUGCUCCGGUGACCACCAGUGCUGGAAAUC